Molecule: ribosomal RNA, 468 nt
Filed under: uncultured bacterium
Lineage: Bacteria
Description: partial 16S ribosomal RNA
Rfam family: Bacterial small subunit ribosomal RNA
Source: RNAcentral
GACGAACGCUGGCGGCGUGCUUAACACAUGCAAGUCGAACGGAAAGGCCCUGCUCUUGUGGGGUGCUCGAGUGGCGAACGGGUGUGUAACACGUGUGUAACCUGCCCUUGAAUUUGGGAUAAAUUUACGAAACUGGGGAUCAUACCGGAUAGGAGCUCCUGCUGCAUGGUGGGGGUUGGAAAGAUUCGGCUGUUGGGGCUGGAAUCGCGGCUUAUCGGCUUGUUGGUGGGGUAGGUGCUUUCCAAGGUUUUGAAGGGUAGCCGGCAUGGGAGGUUGGCCGGCCACAUGGGGACUGAGGGACGGCCCAGACGCCUACGGGAGGCAACGGUGGGGAAUAUGGCACAGUGGGGCGACGCCUGAUACAGCAACGCUCCGUGCGGAAUAACGGCCUUCGGGGGAUAAACCUCUUUCGCCGGUAACGAAGCGUGAGUGACGGUAAUGAGUAAAAAAGCACCGGCUAACUACGUG